UAAAUAUAUUUUGUUAUAUUUAGGGGCCAGGCAUCAAAGGUGUGAUGGCACCUGUUGUAUCCGUUAUUCUUCCACUCUGGGAGUCUAUGGCAGUCCAUAGAACCGCUUGCGGGAAAGUUUUGAAAUUUGGCAAAAUGACAGAAGACAGUCCCGUUAUUAACUACAGCAAAUUUGGAGUUUCUGGAUCAAAGAAGAAAAUCCAAAGAAGAGCAUGCCAAAUUGGACACAAACUAGACUACACACCUGAGAGCCACACUCUCCCCCAACAGUGCAGGAAGGGCCGGAGGCUCCAACAUCACCCUGAGCUCUGAGAGACACAGACAGAACACAGCAGGUUGUAUUCUGAAGCCGUUCUCUCCCCGCAACACAAAACACGCCCAGCCAUUCGGAUCAUCGUCCACCUGCAGCACCAGGUUUCUUCCAUCGCCUUUGGACAUCACAGCGCCACCUAUAGAUGGAAAGAGCUGAGCGUGAGGCUCCAGCUCUGAAAGAGAAAGAGAUUAUGAGAAACAGCAGGAGAAACAGAUGAUCGUGAGGGAACGUUUGGUGUUGUUUAGGAUGGUGUUCAUACCCAGGACAAUCAGAGUGAUGUCAUCUCCAACAAACACAUCUGGGAACCUCGGCAGGAGAGACACUGAGAGAAAGAAAACAGAUACUUAAGAGACACGUCUUCUGUAACGCCAGGAGUCAUGCUGUUCGGUCUUCAGCGGACACACCCUGCAGCGUUUACUCUUGACAUUCUCGAGGGACUACGACAGGAACUACUCUGGACCAUGUUGGAGCUUCAUUAUAAAUGACCAUCAGUUGAGUGUUUGUGUCCAAAGUCCAGAUAAUCCACGACCACACCAGGAUUUCAUUUUAGAUGUAUUACAGAACAUUUGUCUUUCAUUACAACUUAUUCCAUAAAUCUUGAUUCUUAUUUGUCAAUUGCAACAUUCGUUGGUAAAAUUUCUGAAUAUUGAUCAGAACAUGCUGUAUAAACUUUUUGGGUCCAAACAUCUUAGACCACUAUCGGCAUAGUAAAAUAAACCUGCAGCUGUAAAUUAAAUCUGUUUAUCAUAUAAGUAAUCGAGUCUCUUCAGAAAAUCUCUUAAUGAACUUUUUGAAGCGUCAGUGUGGUAGU
Molecule: long non-coding RNA, 1123 nt
Organism: Megalobrama amblycephala (Wuchang bream)
Lineage: Eukaryota; Metazoa; Chordata; Actinopteri; Cypriniformes; Xenocyprididae
Exons: 6
Source: RefSeq, a predicted model, not a curated record